Non-coding RNA from Triticum aestivum (bread wheat), 115 nucleotides. Lineage: Eukaryota; Viridiplantae; Streptophyta; Magnoliopsida; Poales; Poaceae. The record is from Rfam.
AUAGUACUCCCUUCGUUCGGAAUUACUUGUCUCAGAAAUGGAUGUAUCUAGAACUAAAAGACGUUUAGAUACAUUCAUUUCCGCGACAAGUAAUUCCGAACAAAAGGAGUAGGUG